This is a long non-coding RNA of Gambusia affinis (western mosquitofish), 368 nucleotides long. RefSeq lists it as uncharacterized. The transcript is spliced from 3 exons. Lineage: Eukaryota; Metazoa; Chordata; Actinopteri; Cyprinodontiformes; Poeciliidae. The record is from RefSeq and is a predicted model, not a curated record.
AACUCCACGACUUUGGAAGGCGGCACCAGGCUCACGGAGACGUUCCCCAUUCCGGUGGAGUUGUGCCGGAAGUAAACGCUAAACGUGCCAUUCCCGUGGUCCACGAUCUUUCCUGUGAUCAAAAACAGCUCCCUUUGAAGAAGAAUCAGGAGCUGGCAAGACGCUGCUUCCUUUCUCUCUGAGACGCUCUGAAGACAGGUAAACCAAUAACUUAAAGAAAGGAAAUAGGUGAACCAGAUCCAUGUUUGUUAGACCUAAACAGGUUAGUUCUUUUCCUCUUAUACUGGCUUGGUAUUUUCUGUUAUUCUUUUCUUAGUCUUGUGUUUAUCUUAACUUUUGUUGUUGUUUUUUUAAUCUAAAUACAUCAU